GGUUUCUUGUAAAAAAUUAAGAAAUUUAAUCUGCCCACUGAAUGAAUUUUUGAAGGGCCGCAGUAUUUUGACUGUGCAAAGGUAGCAUAAUCAUUAGUCUUUUAAUUGAAGGCUUGUAUGAAUGAUUGGACGAAGUGAAUACUGUUUUAUAUAAAUUAUUAUUGAAUUUAGGUUUUAAGUAAAAAAACUUAAAUAUUAUUAAGGGACGAGAAGACCCUAUAGAGUUUAAUAUAUGAAAUAAUUAAUUGAGUUAAAAUUUAAUUUUUGGUUAUUAUUAAAUUUAUUUGAUUGGGGUGAUUAAAAAAUAAUUAAAACUUUUUUUUUAAAUUUGAUAUUAUAAGUAAUUAUAUGAUCCAUUAAUUGAUGAUUAAAAGAUUAAAUUACCUUAGGGAUAACAGCAUAAUUUUUUUUAAGAGUUCAUAUCGAAAAAAAAGAUUAUGACCUCGAUGUUGGAUUAAGAAUAGUUUUAGGGUGUAGAAGUUCAAUAACUAGGUCUGUUCGACCUUAUAAUUCUUACA
Molecule: ribosomal RNA, 518 nt
Filed under: Stagmomantis sp. MN278
Lineage: Eukaryota; Metazoa; Arthropoda; Insecta; Mantodea; Mantidae
Description: partial 16S ribosomal RNA
Rfam family: Bacterial large subunit ribosomal RNA (bases 391-518)
Source: RNAcentral